RNAcentral lists this long non-coding RNA (3127 nucleotides) under Gossypium barbadense (sea-island cotton). RNAcentral's name for it is "long non-coding RNA (GBAR_LNC003603)". Lineage: Eukaryota; Viridiplantae; Streptophyta; Magnoliopsida; Malvales; Malvaceae. The record is from RNAcentral.
UUUAUUAUUAACAAAUCAAAAAGAAAAAGUUAUCAUUUUUCUCUUCUCCUUCACCGAAAUAUGCAGCAAAGAAAGGGCUUUGAAGCUGGAAAGUUUUAGCAACAUAUUUCACUUGCUUGUAAGUGAUUUUAAUGUAUUUGCUUGAUGAUUUUUACAUUUUUGGAACCCCUAAAGCAUGAGCUUUCAUAAGAGGGGACUAUUUUGCAAAAUGAUGAAGAGUCUAGGGUUUUGCCAUGAGAGUAAAUGUGUUGUUUGCUGUGUUUUUAUGGAAGAUUAUGAGUCCUAGUUGUCUAAUAAACAACUUUUGUGAAAGAAAUUGCAUGAAAACACCUUAAAAAGGGCUAGAUUGCUAAGUUGUAAAAUGAGUUGUAAAUGUGUGAAAUAGUUGAAAUUAUGAGUUGCUAUAGUUAUGAAAAUGGUUCAUCUAGACUCAAGGAGUAAAGAAAUGUGAUAAAAAUUAUUUUACGAGCCUAGGGGUAAUUUGGUAAUUUUGGCAAAAUAUAGGGGAAAAAUUGUAAAAAAAAUGCUCAAGUGUGUCAAUGGACUAAUUUGAUCAGUAAAUUGUUUUAAUAAGUUGAAUGUGAUAUUUUAGAUGAUGAAAAUCGAGAUUUGGACCUAGAACGGAAAGAAAUCGAUUAAGGGAUAAUUACGUCUUUUUUUCACCUUUGUGGUAUCGAGGUAAGUUCAUGUGUAAAUAAUGUAGCAUAAUUGUUAUUUUUAAGUUAUUGAUGUUAAAUAUAUGAUAUGCUGAUUUUUAUCAUUAAAUAUAUGCUUUGUGGUUAUUUUCGAAUAAAAUGCAAGUUAUGUGUAUUAUCUGUUAAAUAUAAAGUGCUACUGAGUAUUGGUUUCGGUAUUUUACGGAAGAUGGCAAGGAUAUGUGUUCGAGGAAAAUCCCGUUUGAACCUUAGGAAUAGAUUAGGAUACAAGUGACAUGUCACUAGGAUGGUUGAGCAUCCGAACUCGUUGAGUUGAGUCCGAGUUCACUUAUGGAUGCGAAUGUUCGAACUCGUUGAGUUGAGUCUGAGUUCGUGAGAUGUAACUAGGCAUCCGAGCUCGUUGAGUUGAGUCCGAGUUCACUUAUGGGCGGGUUACAUUGUAGCUUGGCUACAUAUGUGGCACUUAUGUGCAAACUUUCUAUGUAUCCGAAUUAUAUUCCGAUGUGUUCAACAGGUAAAAUUCUACUCAAAUGGAGGAAUACUCGAGAUGAAAGGGACGUAUUGGUAAAUGUUGUGAAAUGGAUACUUUGAACAGGUAUGUACUUAACCCUCGGGUUGAAAACUCGACAUAACAACAAUAUGGUAAGAUGGUAAAUGAAAAUGUGAUAUGAAUGUCUCGGUGAUGAUUAUACAAACGAUGUUGUAUUAAUUUUGUGAACAAUGAUCAUGAAUGAGUAAUUUAGCCUUAACAGAUUUGAGUUACUGCAGUAGUGUAACUUUGAAAAUACACUAAAAAUAGUGGAAAAUGAGUUAGAGGCAGAAUAAAAUAUGGGAUUAAAGCUUAAUGAGUCUAUUUUCACAUGAAAGAAACAGGUGAAGAAAAAGAAUUCCAUAUUGUGUGAUAUUUGAAUUCUUGUGAAAUAGGGUCUUGAAUGAAUUCGAGAUCCCCUGUUCUGACUUUAGAAAUUCACCAAAAAUUGUAAAAAAAUUAUUAAGAGUCAUACCUUACAUGCAUAGAUUCCUUAUUGAGUCUAUUUUUAGGGGAAAUAAAUUCCAUGGUCGUUGGAAUUUUGUACAGGGAGAAAUUUGGUUUGUAGUGCACAGGGGUCAGAGUGGUCAUACCCUGAAACAGGGGAGACUUUAACUAAUAAACUGUACUAAUUGGCCCAACCAAAAAUUCUAGAAAAAAAAUUAGUAAGUAGACAUAUGAGUCUAGUUUCAAGAGAAAUAGACGAGAACAUUAUUCGAGUCUUGUACUAUGAGAUAAUUGAACUUUAGUACAGAAGGGUCGGAACUGUCAGACAGUGAAUCAGGGGUAACUUUGAGGAAUAAACUGUACUAUUUGGCUUAACCCAAAAUUCUGAAAAUUUUAAGGAAGAAAGGAAAAUUAGUCUAGUUUCAGGGAAAAUUAACGGAACUUAAUUUGGAGUUUCGUAGCUCCAGAUAUAAAUAAUUUAGUGACUGUUGCUCAGGAAGACAGCUUGCAGUGAACUUGAGAAUAUGUUGUAAACAUUGAUAAAACAAGUUAAUGAGUUGCUUAUUGUUUUCAUAUGAACUUACUAAGCGAAAGCUUACCCCCCUUCUUUUCCAUGUUUUCUAGAGUUUCCAGGUUAGCUCGGGUUGGAGGCCGUCAGAGAUAUUAUCAUACUGUCGAGUUAACGCUAUCGGCGUAAGUAAACUCAAGUGAUUCUAGUCUAUGGCAUGUAUAGGGUUUUAAUGUGAGUAUGUAAUAUUAUGAUUUAGCCAAAGACAUUGGCUUUUUAUUAAGGUAGUAUUAGUCAUGUAAAUUGGCCUAUGUCGGCUAAUAUCGUUAUGGGCCCAUAUGAUUAUUCUUAUGCAUGUAUAUUAUUAUCUCUUGUGAUGUGGCUUACAACAUGUAUGCCUAGAGAUUGAAUUGAGAUUCAUUGAUGAGCUAAUAACUAAUGCAGGAUUAAGUGAUUGGUAAAUAGUUAAUAAUGCUUCAUGAAUGGUUUGUGGAUAUGAUUAUGCAUGCUUUGUGAUGGACAUGAGGUUUGAUGACAUGUUGAUAGCUAUAGCAUUAAUAUGAUAAAGAUGAAAGAAAAACUUAUUGUAAUGGUUGCAUGUGAAAUUACCAUGGUCAUGUCAUGUUAGGAAGGUUUAAGUGCCUAAUUUUGCCAUUUGUAUGCUAUUGUAUAAGUAUGCGUGAAUGUGUUGUGAGUGUGACAAAAUGGCUUGGAAAAUAGCCUUAUAUUUGUCCAGGUUUUGGACAUGGGUUGGGCAUGUCCUUAGCACCCGGGCGUGUGUUCUAUACCUACACGGGCGUGUGGAGCCUUGAUACAAUAAAUUUCUUAAGUUUUUCAUGAGUUCUCGGUUGGGUCUCGAACCACCCCGAAUGCAUGUAUUGUGUAACACCCCUUACCCGUAUCCAACACCGGAAUAGGGUAAGAGGCAUUACCAAAACACAUACACUUGUAAACGUAUUUAACCGAGUUAUAAAAUUUCAUCAAAAU